Long non-coding RNA from Oncorhynchus nerka (sockeye salmon), 936 nucleotides. RefSeq lists it as uncharacterized. The record is from RefSeq and is a predicted model, not a curated record. Lineage: Eukaryota; Metazoa; Chordata; Actinopteri; Salmoniformes; Salmonidae. The transcript is spliced from 4 exons.
GUGUGUGUGUGUCUGCUGUUAGACAGAGAGUCCUGUGUAAGAGUGCCUCUCUAAUACAACAUUAAACACGAGACACCAAGGUGUCAUACAUCCACACACUUCCCCACAGAUAAAGAGAACAUAGUCAUUCAGAACCUGGCCUCAGCAUACCACAGUCAUCACACACACACACACACACACACCAGCUUGUCACUCCUGACCCGAGGCUUCUCAUCCACCUAACAGACUGUCUGACCCACAUCAAGUCUCCCCCACAUGACAGAGAGGGAGAGGGAGAGAGAGAGAGAACUUUUGUGAGUGUAAUGUUUACCGUUUAAUCUGUAUUGUUUCAUUCACUUUUGCUUAUUAUCUAUUUCACUUGUUUCCUAUGCCAUAUGUUUCCUCUUGAAUUGAGAGAGCGAGAGCGAGAGAGAGAGAAAGAGAAGGGGAAAGGAACAACUGCAGUGCUACUCGAAGUGAAAGAAGGAAUGAAGGAUUGAAAAAAGGGAGACAUGAGCUCUACAUGCAGCAGAUGUCACAGCGUGCUGUACAGAAACCCAGCCUACAACCCCAAACAGCAAGCAACGCAGGUGUAGAAGCACGGUGGCGAGGAAAUCAUCACUUAAACACAACGGGUGACGUCUUGCAGCCUUUCCUUUCCUCCUCUAGAGGGUUUGGAUGUCCCCGUCGUCUGAGCAGCCACCCACCCCGUCUCCUUUCCCUCCUGUCUCCAGACCCCCAUAGCCUCGUCGAUGUCUGCGUAUCACCAUUCCAGUCCAUGCAAGUGGUUCAGUCUGAACGCCCAUGUGCCCCCCACAAAUGAAGCUCUGAAGCAAAACCAUUUCCCUAGAAGCUACCGCCAGGGCUUCUACAGCCAAGCAGAGUACUUUGUGGAGCAGCCAGACAUCCAGCAAGAUGCACUACAGUCUAGCGAGAGAGGGGCUGGGGAGAGGGACU